CCUGAUUCCUACAAAUUUUAACAAGCGCCACCUUUGAUGGGAGACUCGCAAGCGCUAAUGAGCUUCUUUGCCGACAGGUGGAGAGAGGGCCUCGGACCCACAGUCAGAGGCACAGUCUGCAGGCUGGGGGAGCAGACGCUAUUUAUAAAGCUUCUCUCCGGGGUCGGUCACCGGCGGUCAAAGCCUGGGAGCUCCUCUGCCCGGGCCACUCCCGAUGCUCUGGGUGUACGCGGAGCCACGGUCCCCUCUCCCUUCGCCAGUGCCCUGAGGCGGAUGGAUCCGACGGGAGCGGCCACCGACCAGAACCAAGUGGAACUGCAUUAA
Molecule: long non-coding RNA, 324 nt
Filed under: Sus scrofa (pig)
Lineage: Eukaryota; Metazoa; Chordata; Mammalia; Artiodactyla; Suidae
Description: lncRNA (ENSSSCG00065006755.1)
Source: RNAcentral